This 73-nucleotide transfer RNA is filed under the name Pectinatus cerevisiiphilus. It matches the Rfam family "tRNA". Rfam says of the family: Transfer RNA (tRNA) molecules are approximately 80 nucleotides in length. Lineage: Bacteria; Bacillati; Bacillota; Negativicutes; Selenomonadales; Selenomonadaceae. The record is from Rfam by way of RNAcentral.
GGGGGCGUAGCUCAGAUGGGAGAGCACCUGCCUUGCAAGCAGGGGGUCAGGAGUUCAACUCUCCUCGUCUCCA